Molecule: long non-coding RNA, 1732 nt
Filed under: Ananas comosus (pineapple)
Lineage: Eukaryota; Viridiplantae; Streptophyta; Magnoliopsida; Poales; Bromeliaceae
Description: long non-coding RNA (ACOM_LNC015296)
Source: RNAcentral
GGUGACCUAUGUAACAAAACUUUCCCCUGUGCUUUAACUACAACGACCCGACCCGCCAGCUAUAAUAACUCGUUGGGCCCAACCACCGGACCAAAAUGCUUAAGCCCAGUUAUUAUUACUAGCGUACGAGAUCUCAUAUACAGAUCACAGAUAGACAGACAAGGACUAGAAUUACUAGGCGAUGUGAGAUUCUAGAGGUGGCUCCUACGGUGGUUCCCACCAAAUCCGUUGGUGUAGCACUUUGUCCCGCAUAACACUUAGCUCUCACACUUUCGGCUGGUAUUGAUACCAAUUGUAACGACCUGACCCGCUAGCAAUAAUAACUCGUUGGGCCAAACCACCGGCCCAAAAUACUUAAGCCCAGUUAUUAUUACUAGCGUGUAGGUCUCAUAUAAACUGAUCGGAAUCAGUAUUCCAUCCGAUGUGGGACUAUUGGGGGCAUUACAAACUCCCUCUGUUUAGACCCUGACGUCCUCGUCGGGUCCAAACCAGAUCACAAACAGACAGACCAGGACCAUUACCAGGCGAUGUGAGAUUCUAGAGGUGGCUCCUAAGGGUUCAAGAGGUAGCUCCUAAGGGUUCAAGAGGUGGCUCCCACCAAACCCGUUGGUGUAGCACUUUGUCCCGCAUAGCACUUAGUUCUCACACUUUCGGCUGGUAUUCGGCUCUGAUACCAAUGCAACGAUUCGACCCGCUAGCAACAAUAACUCGUUGGGCCCAAAUCACCGGCCCAAAAUGCUUAAGCCCAGUUAUUAUUACUAGCGUAUAGGCCUCAUAUAAAUCGAUCGAAAUCAGUAUCCCACCCGAUGUGGGACUAGUGUUUACACCCUGACGUGCUCGUUGGGUCCAAACCAGAUCACAAACAGACAGACCAAGACCAUUACCAGGCGAUGUGAGAUUCUAGAGGUGGCUCCUACGAGUUCAAGAGGUGGCUCCCACCAAAUUCGUUGGUGGGCCCAAAAUGCUUAAGCCCAGUUAUUAUUAUUAGCGUGUAGGUCUCAUAUAAACUGAUCGGAAUCAGCAUCCCAUCCGAUGUGGGACUAUUGGGGGCAUUACAAACUCCCCCUAUUUAGAUCCUGACGUCCUCGUCGGGCCCGAACCAGAUCACAGACAGACAGACCAGGACCAUUACCAGGCGAUGUGAGAUUCAAGAGGUGGCUCCUACGGGUUUAAGAGGUGACUCCCACCAAAUCCGUUGGUGUAGCACUUUGUCUCGUACAGCACUUAGCUCUCACACUUCCGUCUGGUAUUCGGCUCUGAUACCUAUUACAACGACCUGACCCGCCAGCAAUAAUAACUCGUUGGGCCUAACUACCAGCCCAAAAUGCUUAAGCCCAAUUAUUAUUACUAGCGUACGAGACCUCAUAUACAGAUCACAGAUAGACAGACCAGGACCAGAAUUACUAGGCGAUGUGAGAUUCUAGAGGUGGCUCUUACGGGUUCAAGAGGUGGCUCCCACCAAAUCUAUUGGUGUAGCACUUUGUCCCGCAUAGCACUUAGCUCUCACACUUCCGGCUGGUAUUUGGCUCUGAUACCAAUUGUAACAACCCGACCCGCUAGCAAUAAUAACUCGUUGGGCCAAACCACCGGCCCAAAAUGCUUAAGCCCAAUUAUUAUUACUAGCGUGUAGGUCUCAUAUAAACUGAUCGGAAUCAGUAUUCUAUCCGAUGUGGGACUAUUGGGGGCGUUACAUUAACUGACGUGAAUGAGUUGAAUUUCCACAACAAGGGCA